AUGUCUAGUCUAGUUUUAAAUGUUUUGUCUGUCGGGCUCUUUAACAAGUCCCUGAAGAAAAGAAAAAAAGAAAGAAAAGACACUUAAAAAACACUUCUGCCCCAAACACUUUCAAAAUAAUUACAACUUGAAGUAUGCUAAGCAUUAUAAACAUCCUUUCAGUGUUUUACCACAGUAUGCUUUGAGGAGCAAGAAAACUGGGCACAUACUCAUUCUCCAGGCACACUGCCAAACUCUUCCAAGCACCCUACCUGCCCACUAUCUUAAGUUUCCAGAAUAAGUGAGAAAACACAAUCCAGUUGCAGCUGCAGGUCUGCAUGUUUCCUCCCUGCACUCCGAGACUGAACUCUAAAACACGGACAAGAAAACUUUGACGCAUGGGCGAAAACUCAUGGGGUGUUUAUACAGUGCAACAUGCUGAUCCAUUCCACAUCUGACGAACUACCAUGAGCAGCACAUCAGAGUCGUGCCUCUGAAUACAGCAUCUUUCAUAGAGGAAAAGGUCAACAUUCAGUGAGAGGAAAUCAUCCUGCACAGCUGGACAACCACAGUGCUGGAUCAUCUCAGCGAGAAAAGAGAGUACAAAUAUACAACUCUUAAGUGUAAGAGAAGAACAGUCAAAGCCCUCAAAAAUCCAGUCUGCUUCUAUGACUUCCACAUUACGAUCACCUACAUUAAGCAUGCAUCCAGUGCUUAAUAAACACAGGCUCACCUAAAACCUCCUGGACUCACCGGCCACCUAAACCCCCUGUUGCCUUCACAAGGGUGGCUAGAUGUUCUUAAACAUCACAAGCCUCAUUCUCUGUUUCAAGCUGACCUUGGAAUGGCCAUUAGACAUGGCUUUGAACUACUGGAACUAUCUCUUAUAGACCAGUGUCAAGGGUCCCCCUGAGUUGAUAAUGACUUGCUUUCAUAACUGCUGUGACAUUUUGUGAAGGUACGCUAGGCGUGCUUACAGGCCAUAUCUACAGAAUGCAAUGCUUCCUUUCCCCCUCAGCAGGUGUGAAUCUGAGCUGCAUAGUCUGCGAUUUACAGUGCUGUGUUUGCGCAUCCUGGAAUAAGCAUAGGCCACACGCAUAUGUCCAACCUUGAUAAGCAAUUUGGCUCACUAUAGUGUCGACAUGAAUACGGCUGUACAGUGGGGACGCUUAGUUAAACAUCAGAAACACAGUACUAUGAUGAAGCUGGCGUAGUGUGUUAUGGAUAUUUUUAGUUAUCUAAGCCAUAUGCUGGGGUAAAAUUGUUGGAUCAGUCACUUCUUGCAUCAUUUUUAAAGUGCCUUUAUUUUAAAGAAAAAUAAGUUUGUAUAUAGGGGAUAGUUCACCCAAAAAUGAACAAUUAUGUCAUUAUUUGAUCACCCUUUACUUGUUUCAAUCCUAUAUAAGUCUGUUCUGUAGAAGAUAUUUUGAAGGAAGCUGGAAACCUGUAACCAUUGACUGUCAGAAUGUCAGCAUUCAGAAUAUCUUCUUUUAUGUUUAACAGAAGAAUUUUUAAUUUUUUUGAACUAACAAAGCCUUUAAAAUGAAAUACAAUAUAGAGUGAUAACCAGUUAUUCAAAUUUCUUGCAUUUCGAUUAAUGAUUUGAUCUUUGUUGUAAUAGACUGGCGACCCUUCUCAGUAAUCAUGUUUCUUUGUUUUAUCACAAAUUAAACUAUCUGUAAGGUGUUAAAAAGUUUUAAAAUAUCUUCAAAGUCUAAAUUUUAGGCGUUAAAAGUCUUAAAUUUACUGCAAUAUUGUCUUGUAAGUCUUAAAUAAUUUUUAACAGGUCUUCAUUUUCACCUAUCCAAUCACUAACCUUCCUUCUCAAUAAAAAAUUUAACAAAAGAUUAUUUAUUAACUUUAUUAACCAAUAUGGUAACAUUAUCUUCCUACAAUGUUUUAACUGGGCCAGUGGAAAAAAUUCAAAAUGUUUGGCUUUGUAUAAUGGUAGACCAUUUCAUUACCAAUGGUCUUAAAAAGGUCUUAAAUUUAACUUGAUUUAACCUGUAGAAACCCCAUUUAUAUUACUAUGCAGUACACUGUACAUAAACAUAACAUCAACAUGUUGGUAUAAAGUUUACAGUUUUACAAUUUACAGUGCUCAGCAUAUAUGCGUACACCCCUCUAAAAAUCUAUCUCUUAGAUUCAUAGUUUUAAUAGGAAUCUGUACAAUAUUAUUUUUGUGCAUAUACAUUAGAUUAGUCAGUACUGAAGCCAAAUCUGGAGCUUAUCUAACAAAAUAACUUACUUAAACAGUCAAAAACGAUUACACACAAAUUUAUGGUAUAGAAAAACAUUAAACACAAAUUUAAAAAAUAGAAGUUUUGUUGAAAUUUUGUAGGUUUUAUUUAUUUAUUUUUUGCAUUAUUUAGCCUGAAUGUAAUUGUAUUAUCUUUCAAUAUCUAAAUAUGUUUGGUGACUAAAAUCUUAUUUUAAUAAAUAUAUCUGUUUAAUUAAUCUCUUUUGUUUAAAUGCACUAAAAUACAUUGCCUACAUCCACUGAAAAAAGGAUAAAAAUAUUCACUUUCAAAAUGGGGUGUACUCAAUUAUGCUGAGCACUGUAUAUGGCAGUUUUCAAUUUUGCCCACUAUACUGCCUUCAUGGCUACAUUUCUUACAUUACCUUAUAGAAACCCUGUCAGAUCUGAUGUGAAAUCUGAAUCACGUAGGCCGCUGAAUGUCUUCAUGCCAUGUCUAGUUCCUGCAUGUGGAUGGAAGAAGAGAUAAAUGAACUCUCUCGCUGUGCCCUUACAUAAAUGAGGGUUGAUGAAAAUGAUGAUAGGCUCGAGCUGCUGAAGAACUGAUCCCAGUGGAGACCUUACAGUGCUCUGUCCCACUCACAAGACAAAUUAUAUAAUUAGGCACAUGUCUUAGGGGACGCCAACCUUUGGCCCUUUCUUGACAUCUUCAAUGCUAAAUGACAGCAUAUCUUGCUAAAAUAACUGGGCAAAUUCAUCUUGGUGACACAAGCCGAAUUCUCUUUACAGUUGUAUUAAUUGUCUGGUUUGGAGAAAUCCCACUGAAAUUACAAUAUCCAGCUACUCAAGGGAAACAUUCUAUUUGAUUAUAAAGAUGAUCACAAUUCUUGGAGAGAGGAGUCAAAAGCAAAUUGUUUUAACUGUAUGGUAAUUUGCAUAAGUAAUAUUAAAAUAAUCUAUUAAUAAAAUGUGAUGGUUUGUGACCUGAUGUUUUAAAAAUUAAUUAUUUUGGGUUGAUUAUAAGGGGAGCAGUAAUUUCUUUUUACACUUUAUUUUCCUUCACUUAAAGAUAAAUAAGUUAUACCAGUAUUCAUUUAAUAGAAGAUGCAACUAUUGGUAGACUAAAUAAUUGAUAUAAAGGACAAGAAUAUAAUAUUAAAUUAAUUGGAAAAGACAUAUCUUAGAAAUACCUCCAUUGUAAGUGUUUUAAAGCAAUAUUAUAAUAAUCAACUGUAUCUGAAAUUAAAGACUAGCUCAAAUUUAUCACUUUCCUAAGUUUUUGCUCCCCAUAGAGUUUAUUUUCUUUAAUAUGUCAGACAUGUUAUGCAUUUAAAAAGCAAUUUUUUUUUUCAGAAGGAAAACUGCUUGAUCUUAUGUAUACAUUAAUCGGCUGAGUCAAGACCGACUGAUUUAAUUUAACUUUGGUUAAAUGACAAAGGAUAAACAGUAACAAAAUAACUCACUAAGAUCCCAAAGAUACUUAUUGUAGUUAUUUAUUUAUGUAUAAUUUUUAAAGAUGUUACUCCACCAUGUUUCUGGAUUUAAGAAUAGAGUCUGUUAAUUCCCCCCCUUUCUUCUACAAGAUGCCUUAUUGUCGGUUUCAAAUUGUAGCCCUGACUUCUUACGUGUGAAAAUCACCUAAAAUAAGAACGCACAAUUCUUUUCCCUCUCAUAUAAGGAGAGUUCUGAUGCCAUAAAGCGGAAUGGCCCUCUCGUACAGCCUCCUUUCAUCACCUCGUGCUCAUCACCGGCAUUGUCAAAAUGUUGGUCGCGGGCCGCGUGAGGGGCUCCGAUUGAAAAAGCAGAGCCCGGGCUCCUGCCUCGACUAGGCAUGGGUUAAGCCACCUCUCCAACCAGGCGGCCCCCAGCGGAACCCUCAUUACUUUGGCUCCUGGAGCAGUGAGCUGUGCUGUGCUUCAGAGAAGAGAGGCUCCUUACCUGAGCAUCAGUGCUUCCACACGCCUUCACCAACCCGAUCUGACAGCUCAACCGCAAAUGUGAUAAAAAAAAAAACAUUCCCUAUAUGAAACGUCGCUGUAUUUGUGUUUGUUGGGAGUAUGUGACAGCACUUAGUUUGACUUGAGAUGCUUUCUAGUGUCAAAGUUUGUUUAUUUAUCUAAAUCUGCUUCAGGUUAUAAUUUGAAGUGUUUAUGCUGUCUGCAUUCAAAUAAAGCUGCCAUUUCUGCGUACUGGG
This is a non-coding RNA of Danio rerio (zebrafish), 4370 nucleotides long. NCBI's taxonomy places the organism in Eukaryota, Metazoa, Chordata, Actinopteri, Cypriniformes, Danionidae. The record is from RefSeq and is a predicted model, not a curated record.